GGUUAAGCGACUAAGCGUACACGGUGGAUGCCCUGGCAGUCAGAGGCGAUGAAGGGCGUGCUAAUCUGCGAUAAGCGCCGGUAAGGUGAUAUGAACCGUUAUAACCGGCGAUACCCGAAUGGGGAAACCCAGUGUGAUUCGUCACACUAUCAUUAACUGAAUCCAUAGGUUAAUGAGGCGAACCGGGGGAACUGAAACAUCUAAGUACCCCGAGGAAAAGAAAUCAACCGAGAUUCCCCCAGUAGCGGCGAGCGAACGGGGAGGAGCCCAGAGCCUGAAUCAGCAUGUGUGUUAGUGGAAGCGUCUGGAAAGGCGCGCGAUACAGGGUGACAGCCCCGUACACAAAAGCGCAUGUGCUGUGAGCUCGAUGAGUAGGGCGGGACACGUGGUAUCCUGUCUGAAUAUGGGGGGACCAUCCUCCAAGGCUAAAUACUCCUGACUGACCGAUAGUGAACCAGUACCGUGAGGGAAAGGCGAAAAGAACCCCGGCGAGGGGAGUGAAAAAGAACCUGAAACCGUGUACGUACAAGCAGUGGGAGCACAGGUUUACCUGUGUGACUGCGUACCUUUUGUAUAAUGGGUCAGCGACUUAUAUUCUGUAGCAAGGUUAACCG
Molecule: ribosomal RNA, 614 nt
Filed under: Salmonella enterica subsp. enterica serovar Infantis
Lineage: Bacteria; Pseudomonadati; Pseudomonadota; Gammaproteobacteria; Enterobacterales; Enterobacteriaceae
Also listed under: 10 other names
Description: partial 23S ribosomal RNA
Rfam family: Bacterial large subunit ribosomal RNA
Source: RNAcentral